This 1822-nucleotide long non-coding RNA is filed under the name Nicotiana benthamiana. RNAcentral's name for it is "long non-coding RNA (NBEN_LNC026535)". Lineage: Eukaryota; Viridiplantae; Streptophyta; Magnoliopsida; Solanales; Solanaceae. The record is from RNAcentral.
AGCAGCAGAUUUCAACAAAACCCAGUAAAAUCAACCCAGAAAAAUCCAACACAAAUGGACUUCAACUCACAGCAAUAUCAACACAAGCCGAAUGAACUCAAAGACACACUAUAGUUACUUAAGAUCGGUCUUAGUUUAUUUGAAUCAAGAGAAAUGAAAUCAAUGAAGCAAGAAGAGAAGCUUCAAAUAAACAGUAGGGUUUUCAGCUCUCUAAUCUUUUCAACUCUCAAUUCUUUUCUUAUUCUCUGUUUUCGUUCUCUCAAGUUCUGAAAAUAUUUUUCUCUCUGAUCAGUCCCUAAAUUUUCCUCUCUGAAUUCCCCUCUUAAGUGACAAAGACAAUUAUAUAACCAAAGCAAAAUUCUUUUUUCCCUCCCCUUUAAUUAUUAUUACUACCCCUUUUAUUAUUACCCCACUCCUUUCUUUUACUUUUCAGCUUUUAUUAUUAAAGCAAAAAGUAGUCAAACGUAGACCCCACAAUCUCCUCUUUUCAAUAGACUACAUUAUUAAUCCUCUUUUUACUUUACAUCAUUAUGCUCCCCUUAAAUCACUCCCUGCUCCCCAUUAUUCAAUACUUUAGAGAUAUUUUAAUACUCCACCACCAGAUUUACUAAUAUUAAACCAUUCCCUAUCUUUCAAUUCCCAAAACACCUCUGAAAUCUCUUAACUAUUACUGACUUAAACCAAGCUGUUCAAAACUUACUAAUUAUCCCAAAACUAAUCUGAUUGAGAGCUAUAACCAAUUCCUAAGUAGAUGAACAAAAUUCAACAUAAACUAACCAAAGUUUCAUUCAUGAAUUCGAAUAAGUACAUGAGGGUGAAUGUUUCGACUAAUUAGGCUAAAAUAAAUGGUAAACAAGAAUAAUAUUGUACUUGAACAAAUACUCAUAGACAAUUAAGCACAAGUUCAUAGUAAUGGCCCUUCGGCAACACAAGAUCCCAGCCAGUCGAGUGCUAAUUCAUUCUUUAGAAAGGAGAAGAAAACAUUGGACUAACAACCUAAAACCGUAGGUUAAACUAAGAUGAAAUUAACAAACUCUUUGCCUGUGACUCCGUCUCUAAGUUAUUAAAACAGAACACUAAUAAACUCGUCUUUAAAUGGCUUUUCCAGCUUCAAUUCGGCAUUAAUAACAGUAAAGAGAAAAGGAAGACGAGGAGAGAUGAACCUGUUUAAUGUAUGAACGAGGAGAGAUGAACCUGUUUAAUGUAUGAGAAAUCUGAGAAUACUGGGCCUCAAAUCCAAACGAUAAAAAUAGCAACGGAAUCGAGCAAGUACAAUGACUAAACUGGACCACGAAUCACACUCUUAAACCUUGGAUGGCACCUCGAAUCUCAAUCCAGAUGCGAAACUCGAACCCAUUGCUUCUGACUUUGGAGCGAAGACCAACUCGAACUCGAACUCUGAUUUUGACAACUCGAACUCGAACUCGAAUUUGACCAAUCGCUGGUCAUUGGCGUGUGAGUGAUGAGUUCCGGUGAGUUCGCUGAUACGGAAGCAAGGCAGAAAACGAGAGAGGGUUGUUCGUGGUUGUUCAUGGACGAAGAAGCAGUAGGUGGUUGUUUGGACGGUGGGAAGUUGUUGGUGACCGAAGAAGGAGCAGAGGUGGCGGCUGUUGCUUCGCCGCUGUCCCUCGUUCCAGCGAGAGGGAGAUGGCUGGGCGCUGCUGGGUUUUUGAAGAAGAAAGGGUCAGUUUGGUUGCUGUGUGUGACGAUGGACGAAGAAGAAGGAGCAGCGGGGUGAGGGGUCGUUUGGGUCGUGGUGGCGGAUUGGGGAUCGUUAGGUUUGAGGGAGAUGGAGAAUGAAAGGGGGUCGUUUGGAGUAAAU